CAACAUUUGUGUUGUUCCCACUUCUCCUUGCUUUUCCGUAGUGCUCAUCAACUCAUGAAGAACAUAACACCCUCCGGCCAUCUCUCCAAAACAGUGUCCAAGUUUGUGGACUAAGAACAUGAGGACUACCUUAUCACUUCUGGUGUUCAUUGCCUUUGUCUUGGUUUUUGCAUCUCUGCAAGCUGAUGCGAAAAGGCCGACAUUGAAAGACAACCACCGUAAGCUGACUGAUGAUCGGCAACACAGUGAAACAAAUGUUGUCCCAACGGCUGGCGUUGGCCCUAAAGACACCAAGGCUGUUGUGACCGAUCAAUGCAAGGGCUCAAGGGACACAAAAAUGAAUACCGGAGGCGGUAGUGGUACUAGUACAGGGUGAAGAACAAUGAUGAAGAAGGUGCGAACCCAAGUUAUGGAAAUUACGGAGGUACCGGUUCGAAAUCUGAGUCAUCAAUAGAAACUCACCGUUAUUAUUCGGGUGAACGCAAGCCCAAGCACUAAGAUUGGGAACUUUCGAUUAAGGGCCAGGAUUGAUGGUUCGAGCUAGCUUGCUUAUGUAAAAUUGUAAAUACAUAAAUCUGGUGUUGCUCCAUAUAGAUUGAUUUUCAUAAAUAAAGUGGAACAAUGUCGGCAAUAUGCUAACGAGCUAGUAGCCCACUGUAGCCGAAACAUGCACGCACCCGUCUGUGUAUGGCACAAUUCAAGCAUUUGAUUUCACUAUGUAUUGCUGCGCUUGUUUACUGUGAUUGCUCUUUGGCUCGUUA
This is a long non-coding RNA of Rosa rugosa (rugosa rose), 761 nucleotides long. RefSeq lists it as uncharacterized. The record is from RefSeq and is a predicted model, not a curated record. NCBI's taxonomy places the organism in Eukaryota, Viridiplantae, Streptophyta, Magnoliopsida, Rosales, Rosaceae. The transcript is spliced from 2 exons.